CCUACGUGAGGCAGCAGUGAGGAAUAUUGGUCAAUGGGCGCGAGCCUGAACCAGCCAAGUCGCGUGAAGGAAGAAGGCUUUCGGGUUGUAAACUUCUUUUAAGGGGGAAGAGCAGAAGACGGUACCCCUUGAAUAAGCCACGGCUAACUACGUGCCAGCAGCCGCGGUAAUACGUAGGUGGCAAGCGUUGUCCGGAUUGACUGGGUGUAAAGGGCGUGCAGCCGGAGAGACAAGUCAGAUGUGAAAUCCACGGGCUCAACCCGUGAACUGCAUUUGAAACUGUUUCCCUUGAGUGUCGGAGAGGUAAGCGGAAUGCCGGGUGUAGCGGUGAAAUGCGUAGAUAUAAGGAAGAACACCGGUGGCGAAGGCGGAUUACUGGACGAUAACUGACGGUGAGGCGCGAAAGCGUGGGGAGCAAACAGGAUUAGAUACCCCUGUAGUC
RNAcentral lists this ribosomal RNA (442 nucleotides) under uncultured bacterium. Its description in RNAcentral is "partial 16S ribosomal RNA". It matches the Rfam family "Bacterial small subunit ribosomal RNA", at positions 338 to 795 of the family's 1533-position model. The record is from RNAcentral.